Non-coding RNA from Halenospora varia, 137 nucleotides. The record is from the annotation of a GenBank genome assembly. Lineage: Eukaryota; Fungi; Ascomycota; Leotiomycetes; Helotiales; Solenopeziaceae.
GAAUGGGUGGCCGAGCGGUCUAUGGUAAGGAUAUCCGUAGCUUGUUGAGAUCAUUUCUAACGUGAGUGCAGGCGUGUGACAGCAGUAAAUGCUAUUGCGUGGGGAAACCCGCCCGGGUUCAAAUCCCGGCCCAUCCA